RNAcentral lists this ribosomal RNA (1447 nucleotides) under Enterobacter sichuanensis. RNAcentral's name for it is "bacterial SSU rRNA". It matches the Rfam family "Bacterial small subunit ribosomal RNA". The record is from RNAcentral. Lineage: Bacteria; Pseudomonadati; Pseudomonadota; Gammaproteobacteria; Enterobacterales; Enterobacteriaceae.
UGACGAGUGGCGGACGGGUGAGUAAUGUCUGGGAAACUGCCUGAUGGAGGGGGAUAACUACUGGAAACGGUAGCUAAUACCGCAUAACGUCGCAAGACCAAAGAGGGGGACCUUCGGGCCUCUUGCCAUCAGAUGUGCCCAGAUGGGAUUAGCUAGUAGGUGGGGUAACGGCUCACCUAGGCGACGAUCCCUAGCUGGUCUGAGAGGAUGACCAGCCACACUGGAACUGAGACACGGUCCAGACUCCUACGGGAGGCAGCAGUGGGGAAUAUUGCACAAUGGGCGCAAGCCUGAUGCAGCCAUGCCGCGUGUAUGAAGAAGGCCUUCGGGUUGUAAAGUACUUUCAGCGGGGAGGAAGGCGUUGUGGUUAAUAACCACAGCGAUUGACGUUACCCGCAGAAGAAGCACCGGCUAACUCCGUGCCAGCAGCCGCGGUAAUACGGAGGGUGCAAGCGUUAAUCGGAAUUACUGGGCGUAAAGCGCACGCAGGCGGUCUGUCAAGUCGGAUGUGAAAUCCCCGGGCUCAACCUGGGAACUGCAUUCGAAACUGGCAGGCUAGAGUCUUGUAGAGGGGGGUAGAAUUCCAGGUGUAGCGGUGAAAUGCGUAGAGAUCUGGAGGAAUACCGGUGGCGAAGGCGGCCCCCUGGACAAAGACUGACGCUCAGGUGCGAAAGCGUGGGGAGCAAACAGGAUUAGAUACCCUGGUAGUCCACGCCGUAAACGAUGUCGACUUGGAGGUUGUGCCCUUGAGGCGUGGCUUCCGGAGCUAACGCGUUAAGUCGACCGCCUGGGGAGUACGGCCGCAAGGUUAAAACUCAAAUGAAUUGACGGGGGCCCGCACAAGCGGUGGAGCAUGUGGUUUAAUUCGAUGCAACGCGAAGAACCUUACCUACUCUUGACAUCCAGAGAACUUAGCAGAGAUGCUUUGGUGCCUUCGGGAACUCUGAGACAGGUGCUGCAUGGCUGUCGUCAGCUCGUGUUGUGAAAUGUUGGGUUAAGUCCCGCAACGAGCGCAACCCUUAUCCUUUGUUGCCAGCGGUUAGGCCGGGAACUCAAAGGAGACUGCCAGUGAUAAACUGGAGGAAGGUGGGGAUGACGUCAAGUCAUCAUGGCCCUUACGAGUAGGGCUACACACGUGCUACAAUGGCGCAUACAAAGAGAAGCGACCUCGCGAGAGCAAGCGGACCUCAUAAAGUGCGUCGUAGUCCGGAUUGGAGUCUGCAACUCGACUCCAUGAAGUCGGAAUCGCUAGUAAUCGUAGAUCAGAAUGCUACGGUGAAUACGUUCCCGGGCCUUGUACACACCGCCCGUCACACCAUGGGAGUGGGUUGCAAAAGAAGUAGGUAGCUUAACCUUCGGGAGGGCGCUUACCACUUUGUGAUUCAUGACUGGGGUGAAGUCGUAACAAGGUAACCGUAGGGGAACCUGCGGUUGGAUCACCUCCUUA